CUUGUUGACUUGGUUUGGUUGGUAGCCAACCUUGUUGAAUUAGUUUGGUUUGGUAGCCAACCUUGUUGAAUUUCUUUGGUUUGGUAGCCAACUUUGUUGAAUUGUGAAAAGUGUGUGUAAAUUGUCAAAUAUUGUAGGCUUUAGAGGGUGAAGCUUUGGCUAUAAAAGGAGAGCUUCAACUCUCAUUUCUACACACCAACAAAGAGAGAAAGAAAGAGUAAGGUUUCACAGACAAGGN
RNAcentral lists this long non-coding RNA (238 nucleotides) under Nicotiana tabacum (common tobacco). Its description in RNAcentral is "long non-coding RNA (NTAB_LNC009055)". Lineage: Eukaryota; Viridiplantae; Streptophyta; Magnoliopsida; Solanales; Solanaceae. The record is from RNAcentral.